RNAcentral lists this ribosomal RNA (649 nucleotides) under Lysobacter sp. EECC-40. Its description in RNAcentral is "bacterial SSU rRNA". It matches the Rfam family "Bacterial small subunit ribosomal RNA", at positions 83 to 728 of the family's 1533-position model. The record is from RNAcentral. Lineage: Bacteria; Pseudomonadati; Pseudomonadota; Gammaproteobacteria; Lysobacterales; Lysobacteraceae.
CUUGGGUGGCGAGUGGCGGACGGGUGAGGAAUACGUCGGAAUCUGCCUAUUUGUGGGGGAUAACGUAGGGAAACUUACGCUAAUACCGCAUACGACCUACGGGUGAAAGCGGAGGACCUUCGGGCUUCGCGCAGAUAGAUGAGCCGACGUCGGAUUAGCUAGUUGGCGGGGUAAAGGCCCACCAAGGCGACGAUCCGUAGCUGGUCUGAGAGGAUGAUCAGCCACACUGGAACUGAGACACGGUCCAGACUCCUACGGGAGGCAGCAGUGGGGAAUAUUGGACAAUGGGCGCAAGCCUGAUCCAGCCAUGCCGCGUGUGUGAAGAAGGCCUUCGGGUUGUAAAGCACUUUUGUCCGGAAAGAAAAGCAUUGGGUUAAUACCCCGAUGUCAUGACGGUACCGGAAGAAUAAGCACCGGCUAACUUCGUGCCAGCAGCCGCGGUAAUACGAAGGGUGCAAGCGUUACUCGGAAUUACUGGGCGUAAAGCGUGCGUAGGUGGUUUGUUAAGUCUGAUGUGAAAGCCCUGGGCUCAACCUGGGAAUGGCAUUGGAAACUGGCUGACUAGAGUGCGGUAGAGGGUAGUGGAAUUCCCGGUGUAGCAGUGAAAUGCGUAGAUAUCGGGAGGAACAUCUGUGGCGAAGGCGACUAC